CCCCGCUCAUUCCUGGAGCCAUUUAAGCCACACCCACAAUCUCGUUAGGCCACGCCCACCCAGAAAUCACACCCACAAUAUCUUAGGCCACGCCCACUUAUCGCACACCUUAUUUAGGCCACGCCCAUUUUUUGCUCCGCCCACACCUGGAGCCUUUUAAGCCACACCCAGUUCCAUCCCCAGCCCCUCCCAGUUCAUCCCAGUUUGUCCCAGUUCCCUCCCAGUGUAAACCAGUAAAUCCCAGUUUUCUCCCAGUUCCCUCCCAGUUCCUUCCCAGUAUAAACCAGUCCCUCCCAGUCCCUCCCAGUUCCCUCCCUGUCCAUUCCCAGGGUCUCCCAGUAUAACCCAGUUUAUCCCAGUAUCAUCCCAGCCCAUCCCAGUCCCUCCCAGUAUAAACCAGUAUAACCCAGUCCCUUCCAUUCCUCUCCCAGUUCCCUCCCAGUCCAUCCCAGUUCCCCUCCAACUCCAUCCCAGUCCAUUCCCAAUUCCCUCCAGUUCAUUCCCAGUAUAAACCGGUAUCCCUCUGUCGCUCCCAGUUCAUCCCAGUAUAAACCAGUAUAAACCAGUUUAUCCCAGUUCCCUCCCAGUUUAUCCCAGUUCCCUCCCACUCCAUUCCAGUUCCCUCCCAGUCCCUCCCAGUUUAUCCCAGUAUAAACCAGUCCCUCCCAGUUCCUCUCAAUCCCUCCCAGUUCCCUCCCAGUCCAUCCCAGUAUAAACCAGUAUAUCCCAGUUCCCUCCCAGUCCAUUCCCAGCGUCUCCCAAUAUAAUCCAGUUUAUCCCAGUAUAAUCCAGUUUAUCCCAGUCCAUUCCCAGUUCCCUCCCAGUAUAUCCCAGUAUAACCCAGUCCCUCCCAGUCCCUCCCAGUUUAUCCCAGUUCCCUCCCAGUCCCUCCCAGUCCAUCCCAGUCCCUCCCAGUUCCCUCCCAGUCCAUCCCAGUAUAAACCAGUCCCUCCCAGUAUAUCCCAGUUCCCUCCAGUUUAUCCCAGUCCCUCCCAGUAAAGCCCAGUUUAUCCCAGUCCCUCCCAGUUUAUCCCAGUCCAUUCCCAGUCCCCUCCCAGUAUAAACCAGUAUAUCCCAGUAUAUCCCAGUUUAUCCCAGUCCAUUC
RNAcentral lists this long non-coding RNA (1105 nucleotides) under Zonotrichia albicollis (white-throated sparrow). RNAcentral's name for it is "lncRNA (ENSZALG00000002134.1)". The record is from RNAcentral. Lineage: Eukaryota; Metazoa; Chordata; Aves; Passeriformes; Passerellidae.